RNAcentral lists this ribosomal RNA (557 nucleotides) under Proteus mirabilis. RNAcentral's name for it is "bacterial LSU rRNA". It matches the Rfam family "Bacterial large subunit ribosomal RNA", at positions 657 to 1211 of the family's 2925-position model. RNAcentral also lists the same sequence under 2 other names. Lineage: Bacteria; Pseudomonadati; Pseudomonadota; Gammaproteobacteria; Enterobacterales; Morganellaceae. The record is from RNAcentral.
AUAGGGGAGCCGUAGGGAAACCGAGUCUUAACUGGGCGAAUGAGUUGCAGGGUAUAGACCCGAAACCCGGUGAUCUAUCCAUGGGCAGGUUGAAGGUUGGGUAACACUAACUGGAGGACCGAACCGACUAAUGUUGAAAAAUUAGCGGAUGACUUGUGGAUGGGGGUGAAAGGCCAAUCAAACCGGGAGAUAGCUGGUUCUCCCCGAAAGCUAUUUAGGUAGCGCCUCGUGAACUCAUCUUCGGGGGUAGAGCACUGUUUCGACUAGGGGGUCAUCCCGACUUACCAACUCGAUGCAAACUGCGAAUACCGAAGAAUGUUAUCACGGGAGACACACGGCGGGUGCUAACGUCCGUCGUGAAGAGGGAAACAACCCAGACCGCCAGCUAAGGUCCCAAAGUCAUGGUUAAGUGGGAAACGAAGUGGGAAGGCUCAGACAGCCAGGAUGUUGGCUUAGAAGCAGCCAUCAUUUAAAGAAAGCGUAAUAGCUCACUGGUCGAGUCGGCCCGCGCGGAAGAUGUAACGGGGCUAAACCAUGCACCGAAGCUGCGGCAGCGA